This 478-nucleotide ribosomal RNA is filed under the name uncultured bacterium. Its description in RNAcentral is "partial 16S ribosomal RNA". It matches the Rfam family "Bacterial small subunit ribosomal RNA", at positions 28 to 523 of the family's 1533-position model. The record is from RNAcentral.
GACGAACGCUGGCGGCGUGCUUAACACAUGCAAGUCGAACGGUAAGGCCCUUCGGGGUACACGAGUGGCGAACGGGUGAGUAACACGUGGGUGAUCUGCCCUGCACUUCGGGAUAAGCCUGGGAAACUGGGUCUAAUACCGGAUAGGACCACUGCCUGCAUGGGUGGGGGUGGAAAGCUUUUGCGGUGUGGGAUGGGCCCGCGGCCUAUCAGCUUGUUGGUGGGGUGAUGGCCUACCAAGGCGACGACGGGUAGCCGGCCUGGGAGGGUGACCGGCCACACUGGGACUGAGAUACGGCCCAGACUCCGACGGGAGGCAGCAGUGGGGAAUAUUGCACAAUGGGCGCAAGCCUGAUGCAGCGACGCCGCGUGAGGGAUGACGGCCUUCGGGUUGUAAACCUCUUUCAGCACCGACGAAGCGCAAGUGACGGUAGGUGCAGAAGAAGGACCGGCCAACUACGUGCCAGCCGCCGCAGUAA